Molecule: ribosomal RNA, 511 nt
Filed under: Mediodactylus kotschyi (Kotschy's gecko)
Lineage: Eukaryota; Metazoa; Chordata; Lepidosauria; Squamata; Gekkonidae
Description: LSU rRNA
Rfam family: Bacterial large subunit ribosomal RNA
Source: RNAcentral
CCUGUUUAUCAAAAACAUCGCCUUUAGCCCCACAAGUAUUAAAGGUCCCGCCUGCCCAGUGAAGCAUUUUCAACGGCCGCGGUAUCCUAACCGUGCAAAGGUAGCGUAAUCACUUGCCCCUUAAAUAGAGGCCUGUAUGAACGGCUAACUGAGGGCACACCUGUCUCCUGAGGCCAACUAAUGAAACUGAUCUUCUGGUACAAAAGCCAGAAUAUACACACAAGACGAGAAGACCCUGUGGAGCUUAUAACCUACUCACUACCAACUUACCCUAGUGAACAGUUUAAGUUGGGGCGACUACGGAGUACAACAAACCCUCCAAGAAACCAGGCUAACACCCCGCCCCUAGGCACACACGCCGACAACACCCCUAUUUGACCCAGUACCACUGACCACCGAACCAAGUUACCCCAGGGAUAACAGCGCCAUCCCCCUCUAGAGUCCGUAUCACCAGGGGGGUUUACGACCUCGAUGUUGGAUCAGGACACCCCGGCGGUGCAGCCGCUGCCAA